This 254-nucleotide ribosomal RNA is filed under the name uncultured bacterium. RNAcentral describes it as "partial 16S ribosomal RNA". It matches the Rfam family "Bacterial small subunit ribosomal RNA", at positions 524 to 776 of the family's 1533-position model. The record is from RNAcentral.
UACAGAGGGGGCAAGCGUUAUUCGGAAUUAUUGGGCGUAAAGGGCGCGUAGGCGGCCUUGCAAGUGGAAGGUGAAAUCCCUCGGCUUAACCGAGGAACUGGCCUUCCAGACUGCUAGGCUUGAGACCGGAAGAGGAGAGUGGAAUUCCUGGUGUAGCGGUGAAAUGCGCAGAUAUCAGGAAGAACACCUAUGGCGAAGGCAGCUCUCUGGGACGGUACUGACGCUGAGACGCGAAAGCGUGGGGAGCGAACAGG